This is a non-coding RNA of Eptesicus fuscus (big brown bat), 96 nucleotides long. Lineage: Eukaryota; Metazoa; Chordata; Mammalia; Chiroptera; Vespertilionidae. The record is from RefSeq and is marked provisional.
CCUUCCUCUGUCUUCGGCCAGGCUGGGCCGACGCAGGGACACGUCAUGGCUUCUGGUAACUGGCGCUGGGCGGGUCUACGAGGGAAAAGCGGGGGG